This 567-nucleotide ribosomal RNA is filed under the name uncultured bacterium. RNAcentral describes it as "bacterial SSU rRNA". It matches the Rfam family "Bacterial small subunit ribosomal RNA", at positions 338 to 916 of the family's 1533-position model. The record is from RNAcentral.
CCUACGGGAGGCAGCAGUGGGGAAUAUUGGGCAAUGGAGGAAACUCUGACCCAGCGACGCCGCGUGCGGGAUGAAGGCCUUCGGGUUGUAAACCGCUUUCAGUAGGGAAGAAGCGAAAGUGACGGUACCUACAGAAGAAGCACCGGCUAACUAUGUGCCAGCAGCCGCGGUAAUACAUAGGGUGCAAGCGUUGUCCGGAAUUAUUGGGCGUAAAGAGCUCGUAGGUGGUUCGUCACGUCGGAUGUGAAAAUCUGGGGCUCAACCCCAGACCUGCAUUCGAUACGGGCGAUCUAGAGUGUGGUAGGGGAGACUGGAAUUCCUGGUGUAGCGGUGGAAUGCGCAGAUAUCAGGAGGAACACCAAUGGCGAAGGCAGGUCUCUGGGCCAUUACUGACACUGAGGAGCGAAAGCGUGGGGAGCGAACAGGAUUAGAUACCCUGGUAGUCCACGCCGUAAACGGUGGGCACUAGUUGUGGGAACCUUCCACGGUUUCUGCGACGCAGCUAACGCAUUAAGUGCCCCGCCUGGGGAGUACAAUCGCAAGAUUAAAACUCAAAUGAAUUGACGG